This is a long non-coding RNA of Cryptomeria japonica (Japanese cedar), 1420 nucleotides long. RefSeq lists it as uncharacterized. The transcript has 4 exons. The record is from RefSeq and is a predicted model, not a curated record. Lineage: Eukaryota; Viridiplantae; Streptophyta; Pinopsida; Cupressales; Cupressaceae.
UUGUUUGCUAAUCAGUUGAUUCAGAGAAGAUAGGUCAGGUUCAAAAUUCCGAACAAUUUGAAAGGUGAAGCUUUCGAGAAAGAGUGCAUAGUUUAUCAUGUUUGAAAGGAGUUUUGAAAGGUGAAGCUCAAAAUAGUUUUGUUUAAGGCCUCUGCAUCUUCUAAAGCUGAGAUUUGUCAGAUGCAGCGCAGGAACUUCUCUUGAACUCUGUGCGCUGGGUUUCGAUAGCCCGGUUGUCUCAAGUUCGAGUCUCGAGGGUUUGAGGGGUAUGCCCGGUGUGCUCUCAUUCUAGGUUAGCUUAGUUGCCAUUAUAUGUUUUUGUACCUAUAACUCUGGUAAUGGCGAGGCUUUGAAAAUGUUCAUGUUUACCUGAAAUUUUAAUGGCGGAGAGAACAUGAGCCAAUAUCUUGCAGUGAAGGUUGGAGACUUGAAGAAAUGGAAGAUAAGAUUCCAAGGAAGGACACAAUCUUUGAGCAGUUGGAUAACAAUAUUUACAACUUAAUGUCUAGAAUUCACAUUUUUAAGGAACUCGAGGAAAUGUAGAGCAAAGAUGAAGGAUAGGCUUGAAUGUACCACACAAACAUUAGGCCACAACCUUCCGAUACGCUUGUAUGUUUGUUUGAAUUUCAGAGGGGUGGAGUAAGUAUUUGAGAAUAUUUUUCGCUUGAGCCCUCUGCAGCUCUUAUAAGAUCCAUCAGAUGUAUUGUAGGAUCUCUGUUUGAUAGCCCCGUGGCCUCAACUUCCAGUAUCGAGCUCUUAAACUUUAGGGUUUGGUGGGGCAAAGUGGGGAUUCUGUUUAUGGGCUUUUGUGGGAUCUGUUCUGAUGCAAUUCUUGCUUCAUUCAGUUAUUUUUUGGUACAAGUAUUGUUAAUUUAGGGUCGGUGUGCUCCCACUCCAGAUGUGAAGGUUUUUCCCCUUAGCUAUGUUAUUUUUCUGUCUUCAAUUCUUGGAUCUGGUGAGGUUUUAAAAAUGCUUGUCUUUGCAGGAAAUGGCAGGCGAUAGAACAGUUAGCGAAGACACUGCGGACCAUAGAAAGCUAAGAAUCUUGCCAAUGAAGGAAAUAAAAAACUUCAUGUUGUUCCUAGGCUUGAUCGUACCAUAGGAUCAUGAGAACCAGAUAAUACGCAGAUUUAAACUUGGGUUACACUCUUGUAAUUCAGGCUUCCUUAUCCUGUGAAACCAACCUUCAUACAUGUUUACAUGCUUGUGUGGGGAGUAUGAGUUGCCUUCUAUUGUGAUACAGUUUUAAAUCUAGGCCAAACUCUUAUGAUAAUAGCCACAUGUUCACUAGGGUUAUGGGCUGCAUUCUUGUGGCGAGGUUCAGUUUGAACCUAAGUUGCAUCUUUACAAUUGUUACUCAUUUUCAUUACACUACAAUCUUAUGGACAGUGUUUUAUGCUAUUGAAACUUUAUUUAAUUU